ACUUCACACCACACCUUCCUACACUCCUUCAUAACUGUUUUAAAUACAACUUGAGGGCUCAUGUGACUCGCAUGUGAUGGACUGAACGUCCAAGAUUUGUACUUUGCUUGAUGGAUAAUUAUAUAGGGUUGGAUUCAGAAUAAUGAGUUUUUCGGUUCUGAUUUUAAGAAAGGUAGCUUAUUGACUUCUAGAUAAAUUAUUUAUAUAGAUUAAGUGAAUUUUUUAUUACAAAUAUAAAAUUUUGAUCAAAAUUAUUGAGUUCGGUCAAAUCGUAAUUAAAACUCUAAUUGUGUCGCAGAAGACAAGAAGUUGUACUACUACUAAUGUCAUUGAUAAUGAUUAUAUAGAUUUAUGGAAGAAUGAGCCAAUUCGCACUUGUUGAGCUCUCUGCCUUCUGCAUUUAAAUUGUGAGAAGUUUCUCGGCCCAAAUUUUGUAUACAUCGACUAUGUGAAUUCGUCAUGUCCGAAGUUAUUAUUUUAACCGCAAGAAUGGGGAUGUCAAAGGCAUAGCUAAUAACCAAAGUAAAGUCAAAAUAAAAUAGUUCGAGUUAUUAUUAAUUACCUCAAAUAAAAUUAUUAUUAAAAAAAUAAAAUACGUUCAAGUUAAAUUAACAUGGAGAAUUUCAUCAAUUUUUUUCUAUGUUCAUGUAAUAAAGAAAUUUUAAACAAAUAAAUGUCAACAUAAGGACCAAAACAAUUUUGUAAAUGUGUCAA
This is a long non-coding RNA of Solanum dulcamara, 714 nucleotides long. RefSeq lists it as uncharacterized. NCBI's taxonomy places the organism in Eukaryota, Viridiplantae, Streptophyta, Magnoliopsida, Solanales, Solanaceae. The transcript is spliced from 2 exons. The record is from RefSeq and is a predicted model, not a curated record.